GUUCUCCAAUCAAGUAGGACUACCCGCUGAACUUAAGCAUAUCAAUAAGCGGAGGAAAAGAAACUAACAAGGAUUCCCCUAGUAACGGCGAGUGAAGUGGGAAAAGCUCAACUUUGUAAUCUGGCUCUUUCAGAGUCCGAGUUGUAGUCUAGAGAAGCAUUAUCCGCGCCGGACCUUAAACAAGGCUGUUGGAAUGCAGCGUCGUAGAGGGUGAGAAUCCCGUACAAGUUAAGGAAGCCCGUGUGCAUUGUGAUACGCUUUCUAAGAGUCGAGUUGUUUGGGAAUGCAGCUCAAAUUGGGUGGUAAAUUCCAUCUAAAGCUAAAUAUUGGCGAGAGACCGAUAGCGAACAAGUACCGUGAGGG
RNAcentral lists this ribosomal RNA (363 nucleotides) under Crittendenia sp. Its description in RNAcentral is "Agaricostilbomycetes sp. AMM-2020b partial large subunit ribosomal RNA". It matches the Rfam family "Eukaryotic large subunit ribosomal RNA", at positions 1 to 359 of the family's 3401-position model. The record is from RNAcentral. Lineage: Eukaryota; Fungi; Basidiomycota; Agaricostilbomycetes; Agaricostilbales; Crittendeniaceae.